RNAcentral lists this ribosomal RNA (518 nucleotides) under Crocidura crenata. RNAcentral's name for it is "partial 16S ribosomal RNA". It matches the Rfam family "Bacterial large subunit ribosomal RNA", at positions 1835 to 2578 of the family's 2925-position model. Lineage: Eukaryota; Metazoa; Chordata; Mammalia; Eulipotyphla; Soricidae. The record is from RNAcentral.
CAUUACCAGUAUUAGAGGCACUGCCUGCCCAGUGACAUUAGUUAAACGGCCGCGGUAUCCUGACCGUGCAAAGGUAGCAUAAUCAUUUGUUCCUUAAUUAGGGACUUGUAUGAAUGGCCCCACGAGGGUUUAACUGUCUCUUACUUUUAAUCAGUGAAAUUGACCUUCCCGUGAAGAGGCGGGAAUAAAAAAAUAAGACGAGAAGACCCUAUGGAGCUUAAAUUGUAUGCUCAACAAAAUUUUAACCCCGCCCGACAGGAAAUAAUUAUAAUUUAACUGAGCAACAAAUUUUGGUUGGGGUGACCUCGGAGCACAACAGAACCUCCGAGUGAUUUUUACCUAAGACUAACCCGUCAAGGUUACUUAACUUAUUGAUCCAAUCAUAUUGAUCAACGAAACAAGUUACCCUAGGGAUAACAGCGCAAUCCUAUUUGAGAGUUCGUAUCGACAAUAGGGUUUACGACCUCGAUGUUGGAUCAGGACACCCAAAUGGUGCAGCAGCUAUUAARGGUUCGUUU